GACGAACGCUGGCGGCGUGCUUAACACAUGCAAGUCGAACGGUGAAGCGCCUUCCUUUUUGGUGGGUGUGGAUGAGUGGCGAACGGGUGAGUAACACGUGAGUAACCUGCCCCCUUCUUCUGGAUAACCGCAUGAAAGUGUGGCUAAUACGGGAUAUUCUGGGUCUGUCGCAUGAUGGGUCUGGGAAAGAUAUUGUUUCGGUGGGGGAUGGGCUCGCGGCCUAUCAGCUUGUUGGUGGGGUGAUGGCCUACCAAGGCGGUGACGGGUAGCCGGCCUGAGAGGGUGGACGGUCACACUGGGACUGAGACACGGCCGAGACUCCUACGGGAGGCAGCAGUGGGGAAUAUUGCACAAUGGGCGAAAGCCUGAUGCAGCGACGCCGCGUGAGGGAUGGAGGCCUUCGGGUUGUGAACCUCUUUCGCCAGUGAAGCAGGCCUGCCUCGUUUGUGGGUGGGUUGACGGUAGCUGGAGAAGAAGCGCCGGCUAACUACGUG
Molecule: ribosomal RNA, 494 nt
Filed under: uncultured bacterium
Lineage: Bacteria
Description: partial 16S ribosomal RNA
Rfam family: Bacterial small subunit ribosomal RNA
Source: RNAcentral